RNAcentral lists this ribosomal RNA (454 nucleotides) under uncultured Prevotella sp. RNAcentral's name for it is "partial 16S ribosomal RNA". It matches the Rfam family "Bacterial small subunit ribosomal RNA", at positions 341 to 792 of the family's 1533-position model. Lineage: Bacteria; Pseudomonadati; Bacteroidota; Bacteroidia; Bacteroidales; Prevotellaceae. The record is from RNAcentral.
ACGGAAGGCAGCAGUGAGGAAUAUUGGUCAAUGGGCGGUAGCCUGAACCAGCCAAGUAGCGUGGACGAUGGAGGCCCUAUGGGUUGUGAAGUCCUUUUGCGCGGGGGUAAAGUGCGCCACGAGUGGCGCAUUGCAAGUACCGUGCGAAUAAGCAUCGGCUAACUCCGUGCCAGCAGCCGCGGUAAUACGGAGGAUGCGAGCGUUAUCCGGAUUUAUUGGGUUUAAAGGGAGCGUAGAUGGGAUGUCAAGUCAGUUGUGAAAGUUCGGGGCUCAACCUUGGAAUUGCAGUUGAAACUGACGUUCUUGAGUGCGGUUGCGGAAGGCGGAAUUCAGCGUGUAGCGGUGAAAUGCUUAGAUAUGACGAAGAACUCCGAUUGGGAAGCCAGCUUACUGUAGCGCCACUGACGCUGAUGCUCGAAAGCGUGGGUAUCGAACAGGAUUAGAUACCCUGGUA